Pelobates cultripes (western spadefoot toad) is the source of this 291-nucleotide non-coding RNA. The record is from the annotation of a GenBank genome assembly. Lineage: Eukaryota; Metazoa; Chordata; Amphibia; Anura; Pelobatidae.
CGCGGAGGGGGGGGCUCACCCAGACUGGGCCACGCGCUGGGGCCCCGAUAGACCUGUGAUGACCCGGGCGAGCAGGCGGGGGGCCCACUCACUCACUUACCCACAGCCCGAGAACGCACGUAACCCACAGGGAGGGAGAGGUGACACGCUAGGAGACCGGGCAAAACGAACCUGACCAUCACCUCUGAAGCCUACAGGCACUGGUUAGCUCAGCCCCCACGCCAUGUACCCCACCUACUGACUCAACCUGAUACCAGCACAACGAGGAGCACCUGAGGAGAUUUAGAGACG